RNAcentral lists this ribosomal RNA (377 nucleotides) under uncultured eukaryote. RNAcentral's name for it is "partial 18S ribosomal RNA". It matches the Rfam family "Eukaryotic small subunit ribosomal RNA", at positions 592 to 976 of the family's 1831-position model. The record is from RNAcentral.
CAAUAGCGUAUAUUAAAGUUGUUGCAGUUAAAAAGCUCGUAGUUGGAUUUCGGGGCAGCCUGGCUGGUCCGCCGCAAGGCGAGUACUGGUCAGCCGCCCUUCCUCUCGAAAGCCCCGACUGCUCUUCGUUGCAGUGGUCGGGUAGUUCGGGACGUUUACUUUGAAAAAAUUAGAGUGUUCAAGGCAGGCCUACGCCUGAAUACAUUAGCAUGGAAUAAUGGAAGAGGACCUCGGUCCUAUUUUGUUGGUUUCCAGGGCCGAAGUAAUGAUUAAGAGGGACAGUUGGGGGCAUUCGUAUUCAAUUGUCAGAGGUGAAAUUCUCGGAUUUAUGAAAGACGAACAACUGCGAAAGCAUUUGCCAAGGAUGUUUUCAUUAA